This 394-nucleotide ribosomal RNA is filed under the name uncultured bacterium. RNAcentral describes it as "bacterial SSU rRNA". It matches the Rfam family "Bacterial small subunit ribosomal RNA", at positions 362 to 774 of the family's 1533-position model. The record is from RNAcentral.
UAUUGCACAAUGGGCGAAAGCCUGAUGCAGCAACGCCGCGUGAGCGAUGAAGGCCUUCGGGUCGUAAAGCCCUGUCCUCAAGGAAGAGAACGACGGUACUUGAGGAGGAAGCCCCGGCUAACUACGUGCCAGCAGCCGCGGUAAUACGUAGGGGGCUAGCGGUAUCAGGAAUUACUGGGCGUAAAGGGUGCGUAGGUGGUUUCUUAAGUCAGAGGUGAAAGGCUACGGCUCAACCGUAGUAAGCCUUUGAAACUGGGGAACUUGAGUGCAGGAGAGGAGAGUGAAAUUCCUAGUGUAGCGGUGAAAUGCGUAGAUAUUAGGAGGAACACCAGUUGCGAAGGCGGCUCGCUGGACUGUAACUGACACUGAGGCACGAAAGCGUGGGGAGCAAACA